AAAAACUAAUUACAGAAUUGGUUCUGGAGUGGUCAGGUGAGGGCCUGUUUUUGUGUCUCCGAGCCCCACAGAAAUUGUUUGUUGCUGAAGAAGCUGAACCUGUCCCAUUAGAAGAUCUUCUAAGAGUUUAAAGAAAUCACACUUGAUUCCUGCUGACCUGCACCUCAUCGAGACCCCCGUUGGCCGGAGUGGAGAGGAGUGAGAGGACGUCAGGGAAGGGGAGAUGCUUCGGCACUCCUUAAGGCGGAAAGGAGGGCAAAAUGAUUUUGUUAGAAUUUAAUUUCUCUGUUGGGACAAGCAAUUAAUUUGGAAGAGUUGGGGGGUAUUGUGGUGUUAAGUUCUAUAAGUGAUAGCAAAUUUGAUGGAUAACAUUUAAUUCAUUACACAAAUCGUUAUUGUCUGGUAUGUGUUAAGAGCUAGACUUAUAUGUUAAUAUCUGGUGCACACAUUAUAACUUGAUUUGAUGAGUUUGGUUAGAUACCAGGAGAGAGCCUAACUUGGGAUACAAAUUACAUGAGGACUUCUUUGCCUUGCAUAGAGCGUGGCUUUCAGGUGAGACAAGUGAGCAGCGGCCAAGAUCAGGAAAGUGGCUUCAUGAAAGUAUGGGCAGGACAUUUCUGAUAACUGUGCUGGUUUCUUCCUUUGAGAGGAACAGCUAUCCUUCUGGUUGCCUGAAAGACGGCUGAGUCACUUAGAGAAAGACAGUGCCUGGGGGAGUGUCGGCUACACACUCAAGCCCUCAGCUUUGGGCCACCGCCAUCCCAAGC
RNAcentral lists this long non-coding RNA (767 nucleotides) under Felis catus (domestic cat). Its description in RNAcentral is "lncRNA (ENSFCAG00000047225.1)". Lineage: Eukaryota; Metazoa; Chordata; Mammalia; Carnivora; Felidae. The record is from RNAcentral.